RNAcentral lists this ribosomal RNA (438 nucleotides) under uncultured bacterium. Its description in RNAcentral is "bacterial SSU rRNA". It matches the Rfam family "Bacterial small subunit ribosomal RNA", at positions 77 to 509 of the family's 1533-position model. The record is from RNAcentral.
GGGUAAACUAAACCCUACCGGUAAACGGAAAACGAAGUAGUCGUAACUUAAACCGGUAACCGGUAAACUAAAACCAAACCUAACGUAACGGACCGACUAGUCGUACGUAGACGUUUUGAAAAGAUGGGUUCUGCUAUCACUCUUGGAUGGACCUGCGGUGCAUUAGCUAGUUGGUAAGGUAACGGCUUACCAAGGCAAUGAUGCAUAGCCGAGUUGAGAGACUGAUCGGCCACAUUGGGACUGAGACACGGCCCAAACUCCUACGGGAGGCAGCAGUAGGGAAUCUUCCACAAUGGACGAAAGUCUGAUGGAGCAACGCCGCGUGAGUGAAGAAGGGUUUCGGCUCGUAAAGCUCUGUUGGUAGUGAAGAAAGAUAGAGGUAGUAACUGGCCUUUAUUUGACGGUAAUUACUUAGAAAGUCACGGCUAACUACGUGCC